CACAGCGCUGAAAUACAAGGGUGGGAACACAGCGUCAGAAGGGUUUUCCCAUUAAAAGUGGGAGAAAUAAAGCACAGAGGGAAAACACCUUCCCUCGCUCUCCAACGGAUUUGUGUCCACAUUCCCUCACCGAGUUUCCUUCGGCCCUCUAGAACAUGAAUGGUGAAAUUGCCUGGGAAUAAUACAAACAGUGUUUGCCUGAGAAACGCAAAAGAAAACUCAUGCGGGGUGAGAGGUCUCCGUGUUCAGAGCACAAGAGGGUUGCGAAAUGCGUAACUCACUUCCGAAAGAUGGUCAUCACCGAGUGUCGAAAAAUGCCUUGCGCUUCAAGGGUUAACCUGUAAACAGGAGGAAUGUCUCUGUGAACAAGAUAUAGUGAUCCAAUCGGAAUGAGCCAAGGAAAGGAAGAGGCUUAAACGUGACUGGCUGCCAUGUGCUUCCUCUCUUUGCCUUCCCAUAAGAUGGAGCACAGCUACAUGGCUCAGCCAGCUUCAAUCACUCAGCUAAGGACCAUAAUCUAGGAACUGGAGAAGCAAAAAAAAAAAAAGAAAAAAAAUUGGAUGGAACUCAAGUCUUUGGAUCAGUUCAUAGAGGAAGUUUGAGCUUACAAACUGGAAAAUUCAUCUUGGUUCUACUGCUUAACAGAGAAACAAAGUGUUGUUUCCUUUAAGCCACUGUAUUUCAAGAUCUCUUUUGUUACAGCAGAAUACAAUGAGUCACAUCUUUUUCCAAUUUUCCCGAGUUCCAGUGCCUCCAUCCCAAUCCUCCUGGGUCCAGCAGGGCACCAGCCUGUUUCAUAAUCAACUGGGGGAAACACACGAGAGAGGAAGGAGAAAUACCAGAAUGGAAGAUUUAGUAUUCCUUAGUCUGUGAUACAGUCAAGAGAUGAGUCGGUGAGCCAUUUCCCACAACUCCGGUGGGUCUCAGAGGGGGACAGAUAUCAAAACUGCUUUUGCAAGCUGCCCUUUACGUGUCCUGAACUUUCGAGCUCAUUCCUCUUUGUCUCCUUUGCACUUCACCUUCACCCUCUAUGAGCUCAUCCACUUUGCUUUCAGCCCGGUAUCUAUACAAACAACUCCCAAGCUCUUGUUGCCCUGUUCAAACCUGUCUCCUGAGCUUCAGGUACCUACACCCAACUGAUACGAUCUGGAAAGUCACAGCCCAAAUGGUUCUUCCUCCUAAACUGUUCUCUUCCCUGUGGUUUCUACUGUGGCCAGUGGUACAACCACCACCCUCCAUCUUCUCCCAACCAAACACCUUCCGUCUUUUCCUCUCCCACGAGAAUCAUCAAAUUCUCCAAUGUGUGAUUCCUUCGGAACAGUGACUUUGUUUUGUAUGCUCCUGAAUCCCCAGUGGCCGAAACAACCCCAGUGACAAUAGGCACUCCAUACACAUUUGCUGUAUGCAUGAAUGGCCCGUAGCUGCUUUUCCAUACCUGCUGAAGGAAGGGGUGAAUGCGUUUCUUUAAGCUGGGUUCUCA
Molecule: long non-coding RNA, 1480 nt
Organism: Neofelis nebulosa (Clouded leopard)
Lineage: Eukaryota; Metazoa; Chordata; Mammalia; Carnivora; Felidae
Exons: 5
Source: RefSeq, a predicted model, not a curated record